AGAACGAACGCUGGCGGCACGCCUAACACAUGCAAGUCGAGCGCCCAGCAAUGGGAGCGGCGGACGGGUGAGGAACACGUGGGAACAUGCCUUUCGGUUCGGCACAACUGCGGGAAACUGCAGCUAAUUCCGGAUACGCCCUUACGGGGAAAGAUUUAUCGCCGAAAGAUUGGCCCGCGUCUGAUUAGCUAGUUGGUGAGGUAAUGGCUCACCAAGGCUUCGAUCAGUAGCUGGUUUGAGAGAACGACCAGCCACACUGGGACUGAGACACGGCCCAGACUCCUACGGGAGGCAGCAGUGGGGAAUCUUGGACAAUGGAGGAAACUCUGAUCCAGCGAUGCCGCGUGAGUGAUGAAGGCCUUCGGGUUGUAAAACUCUUUUACCAGGGAAGAUAAUGACUGUACCUGGAGAUAAGCCCGGCUAACUUCGUGCCAGCAGCCGC
Molecule: ribosomal RNA, 442 nt
Filed under: uncultured bacterium
Lineage: Bacteria
Description: SSU rRNA
Rfam family: Bacterial small subunit ribosomal RNA
Source: RNAcentral